UACGUAGGGGGCAAGCGUUAUCCGGAUUUACUGGGUGUAAAGGGAGCGUAGACGGGUAUGCAAGUCUGAAGUGAAAGCCCGGGGCUCAACCCCGGAACUGCUUUGGAAACUGUAAAUCUAGAGUGCAGGAGAGGUAAGUGGAAUUCCUAGUGUAGCGGUGAAAUGCGUAGAUAUUAGGAGGAACACCAGUGGCGAAGGCGGCUUACUGGACUGUAAUUGACGUUGAGGCUCGAAGGCGUGGAUCAAACAG
RNAcentral lists this ribosomal RNA (250 nucleotides) under uncultured prokaryote. Its description in RNAcentral is "partial 16S ribosomal RNA". It matches the Rfam family "Bacterial small subunit ribosomal RNA", at positions 524 to 775 of the family's 1533-position model. The record is from RNAcentral.